GACGAACGCUGGCGGUGUGCUUAACACAUGCAAGUCGAACGGUAAGGCCCUUUCGGGGGUACACGAGUGGCGAACGGGUGCGUAACACGUGAGUAACCUGCCCUCAUCUCUGGGAUAACAGUCGGAAACGGUUGCUAAUACUGGAUAUGAGCUUGCAAGGCAUCUUGUGGGUUGGAAAGAUUUUUUUGGUUGGGGAUGGACUCGCGGCCUAUCAGCUUGUUGGUGAGGUAGUGGCUCACCAAGGCUUCGACGGGUAGCCGGCCUGAGAGGGCGACCGGCCACAUUGGGACUGAGAUACGGCCCAAACUCCUACGGGAGGCAGCAGUGGGGAAUAUUGCACAAUGGACGGAAGUCUGAUGCAGCAACGCCGCGUGCGGGAUGACGGCCUUCGGGUUGUAAACCGCUUUCAAUUGUGACGAAGCUUUUUUGUGACGGUAGCAGUAGAAGAAGCACCGGCUAACUACGUG
RNAcentral lists this ribosomal RNA (467 nucleotides) under uncultured bacterium. Its description in RNAcentral is "partial 16S ribosomal RNA". It matches the Rfam family "Bacterial small subunit ribosomal RNA", at positions 28 to 507 of the family's 1533-position model. The record is from RNAcentral.